GAUGAACGCUGGCGGCGUGCCUAACACAUGCAAGUCGAACGGUGAACCUUGCUUUUAGUAAGGGGAACAGUGGCGGACGGGUGAGUAGCACGUAGGUGACCUGCCCCAAAGAGGGGAAUAACCAUUCGAAAGGAUGGCUAAUACCCCGUAAGGUCGGCCAUUCGGUUGGUCGAUUGAAGCUUCUCGUAAGGGGAGCGCUUUGGGAGGGGCUUGCGGCCCAUCAGCUAGUUGGUAGGGUAAUGGCCUACCAAGGCGAAGACGGGUAGCUGGUCUGAGAGGACGAUCAGCCACAAUGGCACUGAAACACGGGCCAUACUCCUACGGGAGGCUG
This 331-nucleotide ribosomal RNA is filed under the name uncultured Chloroflexota bacterium. RNAcentral describes it as "bacterial SSU rRNA". It matches the Rfam family "Bacterial small subunit ribosomal RNA", at positions 28 to 351 of the family's 1533-position model. The record is from RNAcentral. Lineage: Bacteria; Bacillati; Chloroflexota.